UGUGCAGACGGUUUAUUAAGUCACUUGUUAAAUUCUUCGGCCUAACUGAAGACCUGCGGGUGAUACUGGUAAACUUGAGGAUGGAAGAGAGAAGUGGAAUUCUCGGAGUAGCGGUAAAAUGCGUAGAUCUCGAGAGGAACACCAAUGGCGAAGGCAGCUUCUUGGUCCAUUCCUGACGUUCAUACACGAAAGCGUGGGGAGCAAACA
RNAcentral lists this ribosomal RNA (207 nucleotides) under uncultured bacterium. Its description in RNAcentral is "partial 16S ribosomal RNA". It matches the Rfam family "Bacterial small subunit ribosomal RNA", at positions 568 to 774 of the family's 1533-position model. The record is from RNAcentral.